GGCGGACGGGUGAGUAAUGCCUAGGAAUCUGCCUGAUAGUGGGGGACAACGUUUCGAAAGGAACGCUAAUACCGCAUACGUCCUACGGGAGAAAGCAGGGGACCUUCGGGCCUUGCGCUAUCAGAUGAGCCUAGGUCGGAUUAGCUAGUUGGUGAGGUAACGGCUCACCAAGGCGACGAUCCGUAACUGGUCUGAGAGGAUGAUCAGUCACACUGGAACUGAGACACGGUCCAGACUCCUACGGGAGGCAGCAGUGGGGAAUAUUGGACAAUGGGCGAAAGCCUGAUCCAGCCAUGCCGCGUGUGUGAAGAAGGUCUUCGGAUUGUAAAGCACUUUAAGUUGGGAGGAAGGGCAUUAACCUAAUACGUUAGUGUUUUGACGUUACCGACAGAAUAAGCACCGGCUAACUUCGUGCCAGCAGCCGCGGUAAUACGAAGGGUGCAAGCGUUAAUCGGAAUUACUGGGCGUAAAGCGCGCGUAGGUGGUUUGUUAAGUUGAAUGUGAAAGCCCCGGGCUCAACCUGGGAACUGCAUCCAAAACUGGCAAGCUAGAGUAUGGCAGAGGGUGGUGGAAUUUCCUGUGUAGCGGUGAAAUGCGUAGAUAUAGGAAGGAACACCAGUGGCGAAGGCGACCACCUGGGCUAAUACUGACACUGAGGUGCGAAAGCGUGGGGAGCAAAC
This 680-nucleotide ribosomal RNA is filed under the name uncultured bacterium. Its description in RNAcentral is "bacterial SSU rRNA". It matches the Rfam family "Bacterial small subunit ribosomal RNA", at positions 97 to 773 of the family's 1533-position model. The record is from RNAcentral.